GUUUUUGUAGCUUAAGAUAAAGCACAGUGCUGAAGACGCUGGGAUAAUCAGAGAUUCAAAAGCA
This 64-nucleotide transfer RNA is filed under the name Daphnia galeata. Its description in RNAcentral is "tRNA-Phe". Lineage: Eukaryota; Metazoa; Arthropoda; Branchiopoda; Diplostraca; Daphniidae. The record is from RNAcentral.